RNAcentral lists this unclassified non-coding RNA (62 nucleotides) under Mucilaginibacter sp. OK283. Its description in RNAcentral is "Flavo-1 RNA". The record is from RNAcentral. Lineage: Bacteria; Pseudomonadati; Bacteroidota; Sphingobacteriia; Sphingobacteriales; Sphingobacteriaceae.
CUCCGUUAGGGAUAGCAAUGGAAAUCCUUUGAAAAAGAUUGAAAUAAAUAGCCCUGGCCGUA